UACGGAGGAUGCAAGCGUUAUCCGGAUUUAUUGGGUUUAAAGGGUGCGCAGGUUGUUUGAUAAGUCAGUGGUGAAAGUCUGUCGCUUAACGGUAGGAUUGCCAUUGAUACUGUUAGACUUGAAUAUGGAUGAGGUAGUCGGAAUGUGUAGUGUAGCGGUGAAAUGCAUAGAUAUCACGAGGAACUCCGAUUGCGCAGGCAGCUUACUAAACCAUAACUGACGCUCAGGCACGAAGGCGUGGGGAUCAAACAGGA
Molecule: ribosomal RNA, 254 nt
Filed under: uncultured prokaryote
Description: partial 16S ribosomal RNA
Rfam family: Bacterial small subunit ribosomal RNA
Source: RNAcentral